This 333-nucleotide ribosomal RNA is filed under the name Triticum aestivum (bread wheat). RNAcentral describes it as "partial small subunit ribosomal RNA". Lineage: Eukaryota; Viridiplantae; Streptophyta; Magnoliopsida; Poales; Poaceae. The record is from RNAcentral.
AUGAAGAAUUCUGGAGGAGGUGCAACCCGCUUCAAAGAGCAUCUUGGCAAGAUAGUAGGUGAAGUGAAGGAGUGCCCAAAUGUUCCAAGAAAUGUGCAUGAUAUAAUGAGGAAGGCCGUGCUUGAGAUGAGGAAAAAGAAGAGGGAGAAGGAAAGUCGUAAGCUUAGAUUUGAACGUGAGUUGAUGGAUGAGAUGUACCAGAGAAAUGGUGUGAUAAAUAUUGAUGAUGAUAAAGAUGAAGAAAUUCAUAUGGCACUACGGGAGUCACUAAGAGACAGGAAUGUUCUGUUUUUACUUUAUUUUGUCUUAUUCUGGUUUUACUUUAUAUCAUGA